GGGCCCGCACAAGCGGUGGAGUAUGUGGUUUAAUUCGAUGCAACGCGAAGAACCUUACCAGGGUUUGACAUCCUCGGAAUCUGCCGGAGACGGCGGAGUGCCUUCGGGAACCGAGUGACAGGUGCUGCAUGGCUGUCGUCAGCUCGUGUUGUGAAAUGUUGGGUUAAGUCCCGUAACGAGCGCAACCCUGUCCCCUAUUUGCCAGCGAUUCGGUCGGGAACUCUAUGGAAACUGCCCGUGAUAAGCGGAGGAAGGUGUGGAUGACGUCAAGUCCUCAUGGGCCCUUACGGGUUGGGCUACACACGUGCUACAAUGGUAGUGACAAUGGGUUAAUCCCCAAAAAGCUAUCUC
This 351-nucleotide ribosomal RNA is filed under the name uncultured bacterium. RNAcentral's name for it is "bacterial SSU rRNA". It matches the Rfam family "Bacterial small subunit ribosomal RNA", at positions 917 to 1289 of the family's 1533-position model. The record is from RNAcentral.